RNAcentral lists this ribosomal RNA (497 nucleotides) under uncultured bacterium. Its description in RNAcentral is "partial 16S ribosomal RNA". It matches the Rfam family "Bacterial small subunit ribosomal RNA", at positions 28 to 507 of the family's 1533-position model. The record is from RNAcentral.
GACGAACGCUGGCGGCGUGCCUAAUACAUGCCAGUCGAGCGGACAGACGGGAGCUUGCUCCCUGAUGUUAGCGGCGGACGGGUGAGUAACACGUGGGUAACCUGCCUGUAAGACUGGGAUAACUCCGGGAAACCGGGGCUAAUACCGGAUGGUUGUCUGAACCGCAUGGUUCAGACAUAAAAGGUGGCUUCGGCUACCACUUACAGAUGGACCCGCGGCGCAUUAGCUAGUUGGUGAGGUAACGGCUCACCAAGGCAACGAUGCGUAGCCGACCUGAGAGGGUGAUCGGCCACACUGGGACUGAGACACGGCCCAGACUCCUACGGGAGGCAGCAGUAGGGAAUCUUCCGAAAUGGACGAAAGGCUGACGGAGCAACGCCGCGGGAGUGAUGAAGGUUUUCGGAUCGUAAAGCUCUGUUGUUAGGGAAGAACAAGUGCCGUGCAAAUAGGGCGGCACCUUGACGGUACCUAACCAGAAAGCCACGGCUAACUACGUG